This 494-nucleotide ribosomal RNA is filed under the name uncultured bacterium. RNAcentral describes it as "partial 16S ribosomal RNA". It matches the Rfam family "Bacterial small subunit ribosomal RNA", at positions 28 to 507 of the family's 1533-position model. The record is from RNAcentral.
GACGAACGCUGGCGGCGUGCUUAACACAUGCAAGUCGAACGGUGAAGCGCCUUCCUUUUUGGUGUGUGGUGAGGAGUGGCGGACGGGGGAGUAACACGUGAGUAACCUGCCCCCUUCUUCUGGAUAACCGCAUGAAAGUGUUGCUAAUACGGGAUAUUCUGGGUCUGUCGCAUGAUGGGUCUGGGAAGGAUAUUGUUUCGGUUGGGGAUGGGCUCGCGGCCUAUCAGCUUGUUGGUGGGGUGAUGGCCUACCAAGGCGGUGACGGGUAGCCGGCCUGAGAGGGUGGGCGGCACUGCUGGGAAUGAGACACGGCCACGCCUACGACGGGAGGCAGCAGUGGGGAAUACUGCACAAUGGGAGGACGGAUGAUGCAGCGACGCGGCGGGAGGGAUGGAGGCCUGCGGGUUGUGAACCUCUUUCGCGAGUGAAGCAGGGCUGCCUCGUUUGUGGGUGGGUUGACGGUAGCUGGAUAAGAAGCGACGGCUAACUACGUG